AUUGAACGCUGGCGGCAGGCCUAACACAUGCAAGUCGAGCGGAUGAAGGGAGCUUGCUCCUGGAUUCAGCGGCGGACGGGUGAGUAAUGCCUAGGAAUCUGCCUGGUAGUGGGGGAUAACGUCCGGAAACGGGCGCUAAUACCGCAUACGUCCUGAGGGAGAAAGUGGGGGAUCUUCGGACCUCACGCGAUCAGAUGAGCCUAGGUCGGAUUAGCUAGUUGGUGGGGUAAAGGCCUACCAAGGCGACGAUCCGUAACUGGUCUGAGAGGAUGAUCAGUCACACUGGAACUGAGACACGGUCCAGACUCCUACGGGAGGCAGCAGUGGGGAAUAUUGGGCAAUGGGCGAAAGCCUGAUCCAGCCAUGCCGCGUGUGUGAAGAAGGUCUUCGGAUUGUAAAGCACUUUUAGUUGGGAGGAAGGGCAGUAAGUUAAUCCCUUGCUGUUUUGACGUUACCAACAGAAUAAGCACCGGCUAACUUCGUG
RNAcentral lists this ribosomal RNA (484 nucleotides) under uncultured bacterium. RNAcentral describes it as "partial 16S ribosomal RNA". It matches the Rfam family "Bacterial small subunit ribosomal RNA", at positions 30 to 507 of the family's 1533-position model. The record is from RNAcentral.